RNAcentral lists this transfer RNA (64 nucleotides) under pig gut metagenome. It matches the Rfam family "tRNA", at positions 5 to 66 of the family's 71-position model. Rfam says of the family: Transfer RNA (tRNA) molecules are approximately 80 nucleotides in length. Their secondary structure includes four short double-helical elements and three loops (D, anti-codon, and T loops). The record is from RNAcentral.
GCUAUAGUUCAGUGGUAGAGCGCCAGAUUGUGGCUCUGGAUGUCGUGGGUUCGAGCCCCACUAG